Molecule: long non-coding RNA, 1594 nt
Filed under: Theobroma cacao (cacao)
Lineage: Eukaryota; Viridiplantae; Streptophyta; Magnoliopsida; Malvales; Malvaceae
Description: long non-coding RNA (TCAC_LNC005169)
Source: RNAcentral
GCAAAGGUAAAAGGAAAUGUACAUUUUUGUUUUUAGUUUUGUGUUUUAGCAUAUUUACCAAACCAGAACAAAAAAAAUAAAUAUUUAUUGUUUUGGUCAGUGAAAAAACAUUGCUCUGCAAAAUUAGGUCAAGCCUUUGACCGAAAAAAGGACGAGGCCCAGCUCGAAAGGCAAGGACACUGUGAAUUUCAUUGCAAGAAGCCAAGAAGCCCUAUGAUGACACCAUUGCCCAUUUCCAGCUCCUUGUCUCCGUACGUUCUACACGUGUCAUCCUCAUAUUUCAUUGGACCACCGGUGGGACCAUCUAGGAGAACGAACUACAUCCCUUCACCUGUCCGUUGCAGGCUAACCAGGGACCGCUGCCAGCAAAAGAAAAUAAAUAUUUAUUUUUAUAAAUUAUGAACUCGAUUUUCUAUAUUCAAUCACUGGUUUAUGUUAAUUACAUUUCAAGGCAUUUUCUCACUUUAAUUAAAUAUAUAAUAAUGAUUUCUGAUUUUCUCAAAUAGCGACUUGAUUAAUUUUUUUGUAUAUCAAAUACUGAACCCACUAUUUAAUUUCAAAACUUCACCUAACCUUGACUAACUAGUGCUAUAGGUAAGUUAAGUUGGUUUAAGUAGCAAUGCCUAAGCAUUUUUGGGGCACUAUUAAAUUGAAUAUGGGUUUUUAUUCUGUCGGUAGGAGGAAAUAGGAAUCAUUCAAAAUUACAUGUUGCAACAGCUACUGGUUGAAUGAAGCCAAGGAGCCAAAUUCAUUCAUUGCUGAGUUUGAACUUUGAAACCCAUUAAAGUUGACCCAAAUGGUCCCGGCUUGCCCCCUCUUACUCAGCAUAGCUUGAACAGCUUUUUGCUACGAACACUCGGCCAUCAAUAAUGAAAAAUUCCAUGUAUCUUACACUACAAGUCGAAGGAUCUGACUAAGAGACCACCUUCUCUACAUGUAAUAGAUAGGCCAUUUGAUAUGCUCAAGAUUUUUCUUGUAAAGUGUGGGAUGACAUGUCUCAUGGUUUUUGGUAAUAAAAAAUUCAACAUUUUCAACCUUAGCCUACCCUAAUUAAGCUCCAAGUUCCCUCGUGAUGUCAACAUGGUGUUCAAGCUUUGUCAAUUCGGUGCUAAAUAGUUUAUUGUUAAUAACAUAGAUUUUAGUAACAAGUUCAACGGUUUACUGUAUUCAUCGAUGUUUAAACAGUUUAACAGGUACAUAUAAAUACUUAUUCAGGAAGAUAAAAUAUAUUGAUUAUAAAUAUCAUUUUAAUAAAUAUUUAUUAGUUCUUUUUAACUUUUAUAAUUGAUUUUUCCAUAAAGUUUUGAAACCUUCAAUCUCAAAGCCCAGGUUUAAUAGCUUGGGCUCUAGAUCCUAACCAUGUUAAAUCCAAUCUGCUAUGAUUCUCUUAAUUUUGCUCUUGUUUGUUCUACUCUUCUAGCCUACUAGACUAGCUUAGUUUGUUAAUUAAGCCCCGGUUUUAGCAGUAAGCCGUGAUCAACCAUGCAGUGGGCGCUAAGAUUUGCCUGCAAAGGAUGAUGAGGGGCAAAACAAAACCUCCCUUACCGUACCAUCAUUGGCAGCAUGUAGCUUUGCUCCUAGUUACAGACAGUAU